GGAGGAGUACUCAAGCGGCCUACGAGAGCGGUUUGCUAAACCGUAGCGGGGGACUUAAACCCCUGCCGAGGGUUCGAAUCCCUCCUCCUCCGCCA
Molecule: transfer RNA, 95 nt
Filed under: Firmicutes bacterium ZCTH02-B6
Lineage: Bacteria; Bacillati; Bacillota
Description: tRNA-Ser
Rfam family: tRNA
About the family: Transfer RNA (tRNA) molecules are approximately 80 nucleotides in length. Their secondary structure includes four short double-helical elements and three loops (D, anti-codon, and T loops).
Source: RNAcentral